UUAAACUCUAAACCCAAUAUGCCCCAUAUUACAUAAAAUAUGGUCAUUUCCUAAUCUUUAUCAGCCUCCAUUUCUAAAUCUUCCACAUUGGCUUCUAGUAAAUUAUUUUCUAAACCAACUAGCUACAACAGUCACUACCAAACAUUACUACAUAUCUCUUCUCAGCUUUCCUCUGCAACUCUUCUUUCGUUUUGUUCCUCGAGUUGAUUUAGUUUCUGGUUAAUAGCUUGUUUUCAAUUUCUUAUUUUUUUCCAAUGGCUGAAGAUGAAAGACCAAACUGGUUGGAACUUGUGCCUGAACUCAUGUAGUUGUUGACCCUUACUCUCUCUUGGUGGUGAUCCUCCUGUUAGCAAAGUCAGCCCUGCCAACGAAGCAGCGUCGUCGCCGGCGUAAGUGGAGAAGCGGCUCCAACAAAAAUAGUAAUUUCAGGUGUUUGUAAUGAUGUACAACGGGAAGGGAUAGCCGAAAGUCUGACCUACUUACAGGAAAAAAGGAUAUACUUGGACAGUGUGGUGGACUCUGAAGACAUGCAAUCAGGCUGUAGAGAAUCAUGCGAGAUGGAAGGACUUUGCAAAUAAUUAGGCUCAAAAGGAUUGGAGUAGACAGACUCUCAAGAGAAUCAGGCUGAAAAGAAUGUGGUGGACUAUGCAAUAAUCGGGCUUAAGAGUUAAAAAGAGUAUUCACGCUGCACAGCUAAUUUUUCUUUUAUUUAUUUAUUAUUAUUUUUUUUUGGCAAAACACUGGUUUUAUUUUUAUUGUUUUUCAAAACAUUGCUUCUUUUGUUUUAUUUUUGUUUUUCAAAGCACUCCUUAUUAUUAUUUUUGGAAGUUCAGAUUUCGUUGAGCUAUCUUGUCUAACAUUAGCUGCCAAGAUGUGAUUUUUGUGAUUUAUGAUAGCUAGUAGGACCAUGACUCUCUGUUCAUAAGAAUAAUUCAAGAUCUUGAUCAAGAAUAUACUCCUUUUAUUGGUGAGGGAAAGAGACGAUGAUAUACAAGCUGGACAUUGUAAUAGUUACGACUAGUUCAUGAAAAUAAGAGUGUGGAAGAGAGAGAAAUCAAAACCUUGAUAAGUGGGGAGAAUCAACGUCAUGAGUCAUGACUCAUCCCCUCAUGACCAAUCUUCACAAUAUAGCAUGUAAGCCACAAGAAAUUGAAAGAAAUAUUUGGGUAUUCAUGAUUGAAUAAUGAAGUUGAGAAUCAAUUUGUCGAAGAGGAAAAAGAGGCUUAAAAUAGUAUAUUAGCUCUUUUUUUUUUUAAGGAAAAUAUUAUAUUAAACAUGUUUAUGUAAUAAUGUAAAAUUAGAUUAUAUUCAAAGUUUUGUAAAUUAAAUAUUCUGCAUGAUUUUUUUUUUAAUUUCUGUAUUAAAAAAAAUAUUUUUCUUGAAUUAUUUAUUACUAUGAUGCUUUGAAUUGUCCACAGCAAAGACUAAAGUUGCCAAUUUGUCGAAGUUUUUUGUCCUUUUGGGGAAGGGGUUUUUAUUUGUAUCCGAUGCGGAUAUGGUGGUGGGGUUUUAAACCAACCAUAGCAACUUUCUGGUUCUUUCUUUUCUUUUAAUUUUCUCUCUUUAAAAUUUGCAUCCUUUUAUCCCCCCCUUUUUUUUUUUUUUGGUUCCUCUCUAAGAUAAAUUGCCUGUCAUCAUUGUUUUACUCAUCAUUUUUGUCUCUUAUACUGGAUUAAGUUUGAUUAAUAGAUCUAAACAUGCAUGAAAUUCCCUAUAAGGAUACUACUUAUGUCUGAUGAUUCAUAAAGAGACUAAAUAUCGUUAAUAGCUCUAUAAAUUCAUUAAACUGGCAGAUUUUGGUGCAUCAAAGAAAGUUGUUGAGCUGGCUACUUCACACUGGAUGGCUUCAGAAAGUUAUUCUCCAAACUGGGCAUAGCUUGUAAGACCAAUUUCAUACCUUUCUACCAAGGACAAUAAAAUUUAAGCCAUACUUUCAAUAACUAGAAUCAAGUUCACUGGUGUGACUACUAUUAUGUAUUAUCAAGAUACUAUAUGAAGAAUACAACAAACAAAAAAUUUCUGUAAUUCUGACCUCCAAUCUCAAACAUAUUUCCAAGCUCUCAUGCAAUGUAUAAUCUAUUCAUUUCUCCAAUUAGCUGUGUAAUGAAACAUCAAAAUCUAGAUUACUUUUUCGUAAUGAAGCUCUCUACUGAUAUACGUAAUGUUGGAUACACUGUGAUUGAGAUGGCUACAUGAAAGCCUCCUUGGAGCCAGGGGUAUCAGGAGGUGCACAUAUAGAGCUGCUUGUCAGAUUUACAUUUUCUAGUUUGCUUGAUGAGUAGAAUUUAUAAGAGGUUGCAGCUAGCUCUCUUCUAUGUUGGAGCAACAAGAUCACAUCCACCAAACCCUAAGCAUCUUUCUGCUGAAGCCAAAGAUUUUCUACUGAAAUGCUACAAGAGUAAAUUCAAUAUCCAUUUGUUACUGGGGAGAUAUCAGGAAUCUCAUAGAGUAUUCCGCACUUCAUUUAUGGUCGGUAAAGUUGUCCUAUUAUUACACUUUUUCUCCUUCUCAUGACUAUCCUUUUAUCAGGAAUCUAGAAACAAUAUGGCAACACCUGGGGCAAAUCUUAGGAACUUUGUAACUGUUUUCUUUUGUGGAACGAUUACUAGUUGUUGGCAGUCUGGAUUUUUGAGUUUAAUCAAUGCUGCAGCUUGAACCCUGCAAGCAGAAGGUCAACCUGUGCAGGCUUGAAGGAUAUUUUUGGGUAGUGUGAGACUCUAACUAUAUAUAUAUAUAUAUAUAUGUAUCCUGAGAAUUUGUCAGGAGUGAGAUCUUACUGGGGACAAAUGAAUUACGAUGAUGUGAUAUGUCAGAUUGAUGUUCAAGAUGAUCUUAUGGUUAGUUCAUAUCUGCCUCAGCGUCUAAUGAUUUAGCCAAGAUUUUUGAUCGUAUGUAUGAACCGACUGAUGAUUGGCCAAGUAAGUCGGAUGGAAGCAUAGAGUUGGCUAGAAGUGGAAACUUAUCUCCUGCUCAGACAAUUCAUAAGGCUGCUCGCAAUCCCAGAGCAUCUGAAAAGGAGGAAAGUGACUUUGAAUUUGCUCAUAGGCAAUCGGCAGAUGAUGAUGAUCUGAAGUUUCAGAGUCUUAGAGCUGUCCUCGAAAAGGUGUUGAUUUUGUUCACCAUGGUCUUUAACCAUAUGGAUAACUGAUAAGAUUACCGCGAAGAUUCCUUUUAUUUUCAAUAAUUCCAUGUCAUUAAAGAAUCAGUUGAAAAAAAAAAAUA
This is a long non-coding RNA of Ziziphus jujuba (common jujube), 3222 nucleotides long. RefSeq lists it as uncharacterized. The record is from RefSeq and is a predicted model, not a curated record. The transcript is spliced from 6 exons. NCBI's taxonomy places the organism in Eukaryota, Viridiplantae, Streptophyta, Magnoliopsida, Rosales, Rhamnaceae.